UGAGGAAUAUUGGUCAAUGGACGCAAGUCUGAACCAGCCAAGUAGCGUGCAGGAUGACGGCCCUAUGGGUUGUAAACUGCUUUUAUAUGGGGAUAAAGUGGGGAACGUGGUCCCUUUUGCAGGUACCAUAUGAAUAAGGACCGGCUAAUUCCGUGCCAGCAGCCGCGGUAAUACGGAAGGUUCGGGCGUUAUCCGGAUUUAUUGGGUUUAAAGGGAGCGUAGGCCGUUUGGUAAGCGUGUUGUGAAAUGUAGGAGCUCAACUUCUAGAUUGCAGCGCGAACUGUCAGACUUGAGUGCGCACAACGUAGGCGGAAUUCAUGGUGUAGCGGUGAAAUGCUUAGAUAUCAUGUAGAACUCCGAUUGCGAAGGCAGCUUACGGGAGCGCAACUGACGCUGAAGCUCGAAGGUGCGGGUAUCGAACAGG
Molecule: ribosomal RNA, 424 nt
Filed under: Verrucomicrobiota bacterium
Lineage: Bacteria; Pseudomonadati; Verrucomicrobiota
Description: Verrucomicrobia bacterium partial 16S ribosomal RNA
Rfam family: Bacterial small subunit ribosomal RNA
Source: RNAcentral